CUUUUGAAGGUGGUUCAUCUGGACAAGCUGGCUUGUCUGGAUAUCUGAUCUCCAGGGGUGCCCAAGUGCUAGGGAGGUCUCUGGAGAAGAACCGGACUGUCAAGGGGAACAUAGACUUGGUCCGGGUCACUGGCACAACAAUCUGCUUCGCAAAAAAUCGAACUCGGAUGGCCUCAGAGAGCAUUGACAACCUCUUGAACUAGUCAAUGAGCUUAAGUUUAGAAGUCGUCGCUGCCCAGCACAUAGUGAAGG
Molecule: unclassified non-coding RNA, 252 nt
Filed under: Hevea brasiliensis (rubber tree)
Lineage: Eukaryota; Viridiplantae; Streptophyta; Magnoliopsida; Malpighiales; Euphorbiaceae
Source: RNAcentral